AAUACAUGCAAGUCGAGCGGACUUGAUGGAGUGCUUGCACUCCUGAUGGUUAGCGGCGGACGGGUGAGUAACACGUAGGUAACCUGCCUGUAAGACUGGGAUAACAUUCGGAAACGAAUGCUAAUACCGGAUACGCGAAUUGGUCGCAUGGCCGAUUCGGGAAAGACGGAGCAAUCUGUCACUUACAGAUGGACCUGCGGCGCAUUAGCUAGUUGGUGAGGUAACGGCUCACCAAGGCGACGAUGCGUAGCCGACCUGAGAGGGUGAUCGGCCACACUGGGACUGAGACACGGCCCAGACUCCUACGGGAGGCAGCAGUAGGGAAUCUUCCGCAAUGGACGAAAGUCUGACGGAGCAACGCCGCGUGAGUGAUGAAGGUUUUCGGAUCGUAAAGCUCUGUUGCCAGGGAAGAACGCUUGGGAGAGUAACUGCUCCCAAGGUGACGGUACCUGAGAAGAAAGCCCCGGCUAACUACGUGCCAGCAGCCGCGGUAAUACGUAG
Molecule: ribosomal RNA, 501 nt
Filed under: earthworm cast bacterium C16D2
Lineage: Bacteria
Description: bacterial SSU rRNA
Rfam family: Bacterial small subunit ribosomal RNA
Source: RNAcentral